RNAcentral lists this ribosomal RNA (402 nucleotides) under uncultured bacterium. Its description in RNAcentral is "partial 16S ribosomal RNA". The stretch from base 84 to 233 matches the Rfam family "Bacterial small subunit ribosomal RNA", at positions 401 to 535 of the family's 1533-position model. The record is from RNAcentral.
GGAGUUUAUUUUGUCGUGGUAAUUUUUGUGCGUGCGGGCUUGUAGUGGCGGCGCGCGCGGGAAAGCCUGAUCCACAAUGCCGCGUGCACGAUGAAGGCCUUCAGGUUGUAAACUGCUUUUGUACGGAACGAAAAGGCGCCUACUAAAACGGGGGGUUGAUGACGGUACCGUAAGAAUAAGCCCCGGCUAACUACGUGCCAGCAACCGCGGUAAUUAGGUCUUGCGUACGGAGCACCAAAAAAAAAAAUUUGGCAUGGGCGGAAAACUAACCCAUGCGGCGGGGGGGAGAAGCAGAUAUUGUUACUUUUGUUAUUUAAAAAAAAAACAAAAUACGAGGGGGUUGGGUGAGAUAACUAAAAAAAAAACCCCACCCCCCACCCCCCCCAAAAAAUAAAAAAAAAA